CCCUUAGAUGUCCGGGGCUGCACGCGCGCUACACUGAGGGAAUCAGCGUGCUAAAACCAUUGUCGAAAGGCAUUGGUAAACCCAUUAAAAUCCUACGUGAUUGGGAUCGGGAAUUGCAAUUAUUUCCCUUGAACGAGGAAUUCCCAGUAAGUGUGGGUCAUAAGCUCGCGUUGAUUACGUCCCUGCCCUUUGUACACACCGCCCGUCGCUGCCCGGGACUGAGCCGUUUCGAGAAAAGCGGGGACUGCUGCUGUCGGGGCUUUCGGGCCUUGGCUUCGGUGGAAACCGCUUUAAUCGCAGUGGCUUGAACCGGGCAAAAGUCGUANCA
RNAcentral lists this ribosomal RNA (328 nucleotides) under uncultured eukaryote. RNAcentral's name for it is "partial 18S ribosomal RNA". It matches the Rfam family "Eukaryotic small subunit ribosomal RNA", at positions 1470 to 1796 of the family's 1831-position model. The record is from RNAcentral.